RNAcentral lists this ribosomal RNA (514 nucleotides) under Ogataea sp. RNAcentral describes it as "partial large subunit ribosomal RNA". It matches the Rfam family "Eukaryotic large subunit ribosomal RNA", at positions 121 to 655 of the family's 3401-position model. The record is from RNAcentral. Lineage: Eukaryota; Fungi; Ascomycota; Pichiomycetes; Pichiales; Pichiaceae.
UCUGGUACCUUCGGUGCCCGAGUUGUAAUUUGAAGAAAGCUAUCUUGGAGGUGGCCUUUGUCUAUGUUCCUUGGAACAGGACGUCAUGGAGGGUGAGAAUCCCGUGUGAUGAGGUGUCCAUUUCCGUGUAAGAUGCUUUCGAAGAGUCGAGUUGUUUGGGAAUGCAGCUCAAAGUGGGUGGUAAAUUCCAUCUAAAGCUAAAUAUUGGCGAGAGACCGAUAGCGAACAAGUACUGUGAAGGAAAGAUGAAAAGAACUUUGAAAAGAGAGUGAAAAAGUACGUGAAAUUGUUGAAAGGGAAGGGUAUUUGAUCAGACUUGGUAUUUAGCUAUCAUCGCUCCUUGUGGGUGGUGCUCUAGCUUUUUACUGGGCCAGCAUCAGUUUUGGUGGCAAGAUAAUGACAGUUGAAUGUGGCUCCUCGGAGUGUUAUAGCUUCUGUUGAUGUUGCCUACCGAGACUGAGGUCUGCGGCUUUUGCCUAGGAUGCUGGCGUAAUGAUCCAAUACCGCCCGUCUA